This 199-nucleotide ribosomal RNA is filed under the name uncultured bacterium. Its description in RNAcentral is "partial 16S ribosomal RNA". It matches the Rfam family "Bacterial small subunit ribosomal RNA", at positions 328 to 538 of the family's 1533-position model. The record is from RNAcentral.
ACGCUCGACACCUACGGGGGGCAGCAGUGGGGAAUAUUGCACAAUGGGGGAAACCCUGAUGCAGCGACGCCGCGUGAGCGAAGAAGUAUUUCGGUAUGUAAAGCUCUAUCAGCAGGGAAGAAAAUGACGGUACCUGACUAAGAAGCCCCGGCUAACUACGUGCUAGCAGCCGCGGUAAUCUGAGCGGGCGUGGCAAGGC